RNAcentral lists this ribosomal RNA (606 nucleotides) under Triticum aestivum (bread wheat). RNAcentral describes it as "partial small subunit ribosomal RNA". Lineage: Eukaryota; Viridiplantae; Streptophyta; Magnoliopsida; Poales; Poaceae. The record is from RNAcentral.
AUGUUCCGCGACGUCGCGCGGCUCACCAACCGAUGCUCUACAUGCUGCAAAUCUAAGUCAAAAGCUCAAUCUCAUGGUUUAUAUAUGCCACUUCCAAUUCCAUAUCAACCAUGGGAAGAUAUUAGUAUGGAUUUUGUGCUUGGUUUGCCUAGGACUCAAAAUGGAAAGGAUUCCAUAUUUGUUGUUCUAGACCAAUUCUUGAAAAUGGCACAUUUCACCCCAUGCAAUAAGAUAGACGAUGCUUCACAUGUCACAAAUCUCUUUUGUAGGGAAAUCUUGAGGUUACAUGGAGUGCCAAGGACCAUUGUGUCGGACCGCGACUUCAAGUUCCUAAGCUACUUUUGGAAGAUUCUAUGCGCCAAGCUCGGAAUCAAGAUUCUUUUCUCGUCGGCCUAUCAUCCACAAACCGAUUUGACCAACUGGAUGCUCUCCACCCUCCUACGCUUGUUGAUCAAGAAGAACAUUAAGGAGUGGGAGGAGUGCUUAGCCAUCGCCGAGUAUGCCUACAAUCGAGCUCGACAUUCGACUAUCGGCAAGUCCCCUUUCGAAGUUGUCUACGGCUUCAACCCUUUGUCCCCAUUGGACAUUCUACCUUUCCCGCUAUAA